This 515-nucleotide ribosomal RNA is filed under the name uncultured bacterium. Its description in RNAcentral is "bacterial SSU rRNA". It matches the Rfam family "Bacterial small subunit ribosomal RNA", at positions 15 to 518 of the family's 1533-position model. The record is from RNAcentral.
GAUUCUGGCUCAGGAUGAACGCUAGCUACAGGCUUAACACAUGCAAGUCGAGGGGCAUCAUGGAGUUUGCUUGCAAACUCUGAUGGCGACCGGCGCACGGGUGAGUAACGCGUAUCCAACCUUCCCUAUAGUAGAGGAUAGCCCGGCGAAAGUCGGAUUAAUACUCUAUGUUUUCCGUUGCAGACAUCUAAGAUGGAACAAAGGCUUGCCGCUAUAGGAUGGGGAUGCGUCUGAUUAGGUAGUCGGCGGGGUAACGGCCCACCGAGCCAUCGAUCAGUAGGGGUUCUGAGAGGAAGGUCCCCCACAUUGGAACUGAGACACGGUCCAAACUCCUACGGGAGGCAGCAGUGAGGAAUAUUGGUCAAUGGGCGAGAGCCUGAACCAGCCAAGUAGCCGUGCAGGACGACGGCCCUAUGGGUUGUAAACUGCUUUUAUGCGGGGAUAAAGUUCACUACGUGUAGUGUUUUGUAGGUACCGCAUGAAUAAGGACCGGCUAAUUCCGUGCCAGCAGCCGC